Molecule: long non-coding RNA, 335 nt
Filed under: Felis catus (domestic cat)
Lineage: Eukaryota; Metazoa; Chordata; Mammalia; Carnivora; Felidae
Description: lncRNA (ENSFCAG00000050233.1)
Source: RNAcentral
AGGUGUGUGCACACAUAUAGAGGGUUCUAGUUUCUGGCAUGAAGGCGUCUGGCCCAAGCUUUCUCUCUACCGCCCAUCAAAGGGGAGCACAGGUGAGGGCUUGUGGGGACGGGGCCUAGCACCGGCCUGGUCCCACGGGCCUUGACUCCUCCACACUGGCUCAAGCCCGGUCUGAGGAACAGACUGCGCAUGCGCAAAUCCAAAGGCUCCCGGCAGCCUCCAGGGGCGACUGGUGGGAUGCAGAUGCCCGUGCGCGAGUGCCAAGCAACAAGAUCUCAGUGACAGAGAGAAUUCCACAUGAAUGGUUUACGAUGUUGGUGAAAUGUUCUCUAUGA